GAUGAACGCUGGCGGCGGGCCGAAUACAUGUAAGUCGAGCGAACAGAUGAGGAGCUUGUUAUCUUGAGGUUAGAGGGGGAAGGGUGAGUAAGACGUGGAUAAGAUAAUUAUAAGAAUGGGAUAAUUUAGGGAAAACGGAGCUAAUACCGGAUAAUAUAUUGAACCGCAUGGUUCAAUAGUGAAAGACGGUUUUGCUGUCACUUAUAGAUGGAUCCGCGCCGCAUUAGCUAGUUGGUAAGGUAACGGCUUACCAAGGAAAGUAUGCGUAGCCGACCUGAGAGGGUGAUCGGCCACACUGGAACUGAGACACGGUCCAGACUCCUACGGGAGGCAGCAGUAGGGAAUCUUCCGCAAUGGGCGAAAACCUGACGGAGCAACGCCGCGUGAGUGAUGAAGGUCUUCGGAUCGUAAAACUCUGUUAUUAAGGAAGAACAAAUGUGUAAGUAACUAUGCACGUCUUGACGGUACCUAAUCAGAAAGCCCCGGCUCCCUACGUC
This 497-nucleotide ribosomal RNA is filed under the name uncultured bacterium. RNAcentral's name for it is "partial 16S ribosomal RNA". It matches the Rfam family "Bacterial small subunit ribosomal RNA", at positions 28 to 507 of the family's 1533-position model. The record is from RNAcentral.